CUGGCUCAGGAUGAACGCUAGCGGCAGGCCUAACACAUGCAAGUCGAGGGGCAACACGGUGUAGCAAUACACGUGGUGGCGACCGGCGCACGGGUGAGUAACGCGUAUGCAACCUACCCUAGUACUGGGGGGAUAGCUCAGAGAAAUCUGAAUUAAACCCGCAUACAGCAUUUGUAUCGCAUGAUACGGAUUGCAAAAAUUCAGGUGGUAUAGGAUGGGCAUGCGUGUCAUUAGCUAGUUGGUGAGGUAACGGCUCACCAAGGCGACGAUGACUAGGGGGUCUGAGAGGAUGAUCCCCCACACUGGUACUGAGACACGGACCAGACUCCUACGGGAGGCAGCAGUGAGGAAUAUUGGUCAAUGGGGGCAACCCUGAACCAGCCAUGCCGCGUGAAGGAAGAAGGCCCUAUGGGUUGUAAACUUCUUUUGUACUGGGGUAAUAAUGGGUACGUGUAUCCAUAUGAAAGUACAGUACGAAUAAGCAUCGGCUAACUACGUGCCAGCCGCGGC
This 510-nucleotide ribosomal RNA is filed under the name uncultured bacterium. RNAcentral describes it as "bacterial SSU rRNA". It matches the Rfam family "Bacterial small subunit ribosomal RNA", at positions 19 to 518 of the family's 1533-position model. The record is from RNAcentral.